UACGUAGGGACCAAGCGUUGUUCGGAUUUACUGGGCGUAAAGGGCGCGUAGGCGGCGUGUUAAGUCAGCUGUGAAAUCUCCAAGCUUAACUUGGAACGGUCAGCUGAUACUGAUGUGCUAGAGUGCAGAAGGGGCAAUCGGAAUUCUUGGUGUAGCGGUGAAAUGCGCAGAUAUCAGGAGGAACACCGGUGGCGAAGGCGGGUCUCUGGACCGAUACUGACGCUGAGGAGCGAAAGCGUGGGGAGCGAACAGG
This 253-nucleotide ribosomal RNA is filed under the name uncultured bacterium. RNAcentral's name for it is "partial 16S ribosomal RNA". It matches the Rfam family "Bacterial small subunit ribosomal RNA", at positions 524 to 776 of the family's 1533-position model. The record is from RNAcentral.